Molecule: transfer RNA, 89 nt
Filed under: groundwater metagenome
Description: tRNA-Lys
Rfam family: tRNA
About the family: Transfer RNA (tRNA) molecules are approximately 80 nucleotides in length. Their secondary structure includes four short double-helical elements and three loops (D, anti-codon, and T loops).
Source: RNAcentral
GGGCUCGUAGCUCAGUCAGGCAGAGCACCGGGCUUUUAUUCGAAUGAAAAGAUACCCGAUGGUCGAGGGUUCAAAUCCCUCCGAGCCCG